RNAcentral lists this long non-coding RNA (4126 nucleotides) under Brassica rapa (field mustard). Its description in RNAcentral is "long non-coding RNA (BRAP_LNC000358)". The stretch from base 3268 to 3339 matches the Rfam family "tRNA". Lineage: Eukaryota; Viridiplantae; Streptophyta; Magnoliopsida; Brassicales; Brassicaceae. The record is from RNAcentral.
AAUACUUUAAAAUAGAGCCUAGAGGCCCAGUCCCUAGGAAUAUGAAAAAAAAAGCGAUUGAAACAAAUACAAAAGACAAAUCAUGGAUGUCUUUGAUGAUUCCCAACAAUUCAUUCCUCUGUGUCUUGUUGUUGAUUACUCCAAUGAGCGUUAAGUUGUCAGAGCAGACCCAGAGAUUCGAGAUCCCUUGAUUUGCAUCCAUGUAAAAGUCCUUCCUUGAUCGCCAGAGCUUCAGCGACCAACGGUGAAUCGAUAUAGUUGUUCCCUCAAUAAAGAACUCGAUGCUUUGAUUAUGAUCCAAGCUAGGCCUGACUUGUAUCGAGUCGCGUCCCACGAAGCAUCCGUCUUGCAGGUGGCGAUUUCAGAUUGGGCAGAAUUGAUUCCCUGAUUCAAUUGAUUUGUGUUCCGGUAUGAGUCUUUUGGCCUUUAGAGACCGGCGAUUGUGUCUCAUUCCAUUCCCUUGCUAACGCUAAUCCUUUGUUGUUGUAUCUUCAUGUUGUUCACUUUUCCCUUCAAAUAUGAGUGUGUUUCGGUCCUUCUAAAUAGACCAGAAUACCCAUGGGAGAAUGGUGUUUGAUACUUCAGUGGGGGGGGGGGGGGGAGGCAGGUUGCUGAGCAAAAGUGUACCACCGUCGAUGCAAACGGACAGAGAAUAAGAUAUGAAUAAGAGAUUCAAUUUCCUUACAUCUUGGGCAUCUAAUAUCUGAGCUGAUUCCUCCUUUUUGAAGGUUCUCGCCUAGGGACAAGGCGACUUGGAUGAUCGACCAGAGAAUGACUUUCAUCUUAGGUGAGCAGGAGAUUGACCAUACGUCCUUAAUCCAGUUAAAAUCCCCAAUCGAGCUACUGAUGUUCUGUUCUUGAUUAAGGUUUGCCACUGAAUUAUACCCUGAUCUUGUAGAGUAGAUACCAGAGGGGAGAGGUUGCCAUAUGUACUGUUGUCUGCUCCUCUUUGACUUGGUUUGGGGCAUUGGAUUCACUCUGCAAACUCAGGUAGAAAUCUCUCAAUUCUUUGCUUGUUCCUUCUUUUUUAUUGGCCUUUCUUUUUUGCUAGGCCGGGUCAAUUCGGGGUCCAUAUGUUUAUACGGUCCACUUCCAACACACUUUUAAACUUGUAUAGUUCUAGUCAAAUGAGUACGUUUACCAAAAAUAAAUAAACCACACAAUCUUUCAUCAACUAAGGAUGCGUAAAAAUUCCAUAGUAUUUGUAGAAUACCUUGAUGCCCCUAAAGAAAUUUAGGAAAGAUAGGGAAAAAAUAAGGGUGAGGUCUCAUUAGCAUGUUCUUGAUUAAGACUUUUCCAUGUAUCCAGUGCCAUGAUCUUGAUCAUUUCUUCGGCUUUAACUACAAUUUCUUCAGCGGGAGCUGCUAUCAGUAUUGGAAACGUCUUCAGUUUUGGGCUUUGCUCUAACCGAAGCUAUUGCAUUGUUUGCUCCAAUGAUGGCCUUUUUGAUCUUAUUCCUAUUCUGAUAGAAGAAAGAAGGUUUCAUUCAGUCUCAUGGCUCACGCGCAACCCCUCCCUGCUUCUGUAACACCCGUCUCCUCCUACAUGGAGAACGGCGUGUUACUACCGGUGAAAUAUCGAAUUAAACCGAAUUAUUCCAAAUCGAACAAAAUAACAUAAUAUUUAAUAGAAUAAUUUUAAAGGAAAUAAAUUUUUAAAUUUAAGUAUAAAAAUAUAUCAAAUAAAUCGAAUGUAAAAUUCGUAUAAAUCAUUAGUUAAAACCGAAAUAAAUACAAUUAUCCCAAGACACCAAACCGUCCAGAUAUCCAACAACUCGGCAAGCUCACCUGCAAGGGGGAAGAAGAGGGGUGAGCAACAGGGGAGUUACUCCGUGAGGUAUGGGGAUGCUAAACACGCAAACCACUGACUUGAGUAAAUAGAACUCCCACUAUGGAAGUUUAGCUCUAACAUGAACACAUACGACGCCUAGCGCGUCACACAAACCAAACAAUGCGAUGAUAGCAUAAAGCUAGUCCAUACACCCCGCAUCUCCUCAUAUGGAUAUAUAAUACGUAGCGUCGCUAGUACAGUAUGUCUCUGUACCCCCGCCCUCUCAAGUAGCGUCCAUGAUACAAACGUCUCUGCACCACACGCCCGCACAAGUAGCAUCGCAAGUCCAGACGUCUCUGAACCCCUGCCCGCACAAUCAAAGUAGCGUCGCUAGCCCAGACAUCUCUGAGCCCCCGCCCGCGCACAUAGUCCGUACUAAUAACUAUGUAUACAUACAUAUAUAUAUCGCAUCUCUUAACAUCACACAAUCCAAUAAAAAGUUGAAUCCUCUAGACCCCUAGUUCCAAUUUACAAUGAAUGAACUAACUAACAAUCAAGACUCAAUUCAAACAGACGGAUCAUGAUUCGAAAUCUAAAAUACGAUAGAGAAAAUUCUACACUGGUACGGGAUUUACGGAAUAGACCCUCACCUUAGCCAUAAAGAAAAAACCAGAAACGGAUCCGACAAUACAUGAAAUGACUUGAUCAUCCAGAAAGCUAGAAUUUUGCCAUGGAUUUCGAAUACUCGUUGAAGACAAACCAUAUCAAAAAGGAACAUAGAAAAAUAUUAAAAUAAGAAUAAAUAAUGGAUUUAUAAGGAUGGUUACUUGCUACACAAGUAAUAAAGAAACGAGCACUUGAACCUCACGGUUUUGACUCGCGGUUAUGGAUCUCGAACUCGGCGAAGGGUGCUGCAUCUCCGAUGGAUCACAGCUCACGGUUGAUGAUGAUGGUGCGGAUCAACGGCGGUCGAGGUGCGGUGACUCCGGCUUGAACGCCUUCUCUCCCUCUCCGCUCAAGCUCUUCAUCUCACGGAUCCGAUAGGUAAGAUUAACGCAAUGAACGUGACGGCACAUAACAAGUCUGUAAUGGCAGGGGCUGCUUCUCCAGUAUGAUACACGGCCAUUGAUCUGUGGUGGUUGGUGCUAAGGGCGUGUGACGAAGAUGACAGCUUCUCUACCCCAAAGCAUGGAGAUUGCACGAACAAGAAGCUAAUCAAGGAGAAGACAAAAUAGAGAAGGGAGGAGAUGAUCGUGAAGUAGAGAAGAAAUAAAAAUGGUGGAUGCGGCUCCCGAGAAGGAGGAAGGGUAAGUGAAAUAUAUAUAGCUAGGUAUAAGGAAUAACAUGAUAAAUUAGAAAUAUGAAUAAUUUAGUUUGGGGCAUGGUUUGGUCCAAUCAAAUUAAUUAAAAAGAAACCAAACCAACCGGUUGAGAAAACCGGGUCGUUACAGCUUCUCCCUUCCCCCUCCCCUUACCGUCCAAAACUCAGAUGCCUUAUGGAGUAUAGCCAAGUGGUAACGCACCGGUUUUUGGUACCGGCAUGCAAAUGUUCAAAUCCUUUUACACCAGAUUAUGAACACCCGAUCGUAUCUGUCAAGAACGAGCUGACGACUACAAGGGAAGCUCUCAUUAAUUAGCUGAUAAGGGGAAGCGGCUGAAAGCAGUCCCUGAGCUAAGCCUUGGAAAUCUAAUGCCUUUCAAAUCCUCCUAACCAUUAUCCUACUGCAACAAUUCUUGCUAAAAAGAACGCCCACCCCUAUCUGUUUGAUAACAGUUUCUUCCUAGUUUUCUUGAAACAGAUAAUCUUGCUCAACUGAAACAAAAAAAGAGCGACUUAUUGCAUUGCUCUCACAAACUAUUAAUUUUAUAAGAGAAGAAAGAUUGUUUUAAAAAGAAAGAACGUUUGGAUUCGAGGCGGAUCCCUUUUUUCGUUUCCUUUACGAGUAAGAAAGUGGUUACGCUCGGGGAGUCGGGGACUUUAAAUUUCUUUUACUUUGGUUCGAGUCCACAAACCACUAAGACUUCAGGCUAAAUCCUGAAGUAAGUUAGAAAGCGUUGUUUGAUGAGCCUGCCUAGUAUUAGUUAGUUGGUUAGGUAAAGGCUAACCAAACCAAUGAUGCUUACCUUUCCUAAAUGAAUAGAUUAUCGCGGAGGCUUUACAUGGAGAAAGAGAUGAUAUCCCUUGGAAAAUAUUAAAUUUUGAUUUCUAAACUUAUGAAUUCUUUUGAUCUCAUUUUGUUGAUAUUAAGAAGUGAUUAUAGGCACUUAAUUAUCUAUUCCGCUUUCUACAGUAUUUUGUGCUACUUUACUUUGGAGUUAAUGAAUGUUCUCAUAUCUAAGUAUAACAUAUCUACAG